GUUUUUUUCUUUCUUCAAAAAUGCUGGCCUCUCAUCAACUCUACUCUCUCCUUCAUUUAGCAAUAAUCAAUGUCAUUAUUUCAUUUACCCGUUAUUAAAAGUUCCAGUUUUUUUCCCCUUAUUCUCACAGCAAAAUUUAAGCUAAAAUAAAAGUCCCUUAUUUUGAAUUUCUUUUUUCAAUUUUGAAUCCCUCCUCAGAGUGUGUUAUCCUCCUUUCUCAAAUCACCUCCUUCUCUCGCCAUCUUCACAUUGCAACUACAGUAUGACUCGCCCUCACCGGAAAAGAUUCGACCACCACACACCACUCGCCUCUCACCUCUCUCUGCUCGACCACACCACCUUUCUCUCUCUCUCUCUCUCUCUCUCUCUCUCUCUCUAUUUUUGCUCGGCCGCUCGGCCGCUCGGCCGAGUUUUCAAAUCAAAAUCACGGGAAAAGCCAGUCGCCACCGCCGUCACCACAAAAGCUUUCUCUAUCUCCUUCUCCCUUUUGUCUCUCAUUUUCUCUAUGCGACAUACAGAUUCAAUUUUUCUAGGUUUUAGGUUUUUGGAAAAUUUUGAUUUGUUUCUUUGAUGGAUUGAUUGAUUGAAUAAGUAUAGAUAAUAGAUAGACUCAAUCCUUCUUAUUGUGUUGUCAUGUUGAGUUAGAAAAUUUUGAUUGAUGAUGUUGUCAUGUUGAGUUAGAAAUUUUUUGUGUUGUUAACCUUUAACUUAGAAUAAAAAAUAUGGUGUUGAGUUAGAAAAUUUGAAGAAAUUUGGUUGAAAUAUAUUGUUAUUUAGAUGUGAAUGUUGUGCAAUCAAUUAUUCUUUUCGUUUCAUUUUUCUCAAUUUUUGUUAUAAAAACCCUCCGAUGAUGCAUAUUCAUAAUUUUUCUCUGCAUAAUAUGGUUUGGUUUCUCUUUGUUUUCACUCUAAGUAUAAAAAACUAAACAAGAUCGUUUUUUCCUUCUGCUUCUCAAAUUGAUUCAAUAGGAUUGAAAUUUGUGGUUUUGGUUUUGUUACAUGUCCACAACCAUUUGUGAGUUUUGGGGUUGAAACACUGUUGGCAUUUUAUUAAUGUCUAAUGUUUUUCUGGUUUUAGGAAAAACUUUACCAGUGGAUUUCGAGACAGCAAGAGGGUGGAUCAAGAGUUGCAACAUAUACUUAACUACCGAUAACGGCUUCAGUUAAAACUUUUCAAUCAUAGCUCACAGUUCAAAAUUCUAAUAAUGUAUACGGUUGAUUUUUCAAAACCUUGGUGAUGUGAUUCUUUGUGCUGCUCCCAUCUCGCUUCAUCUCCUACCUCGCAUCUUCUCCUUUCUGUCACCGUGGUCCGCAUUAUGCGGUAUUCAUCCUCAAAAUUUCUUCGUCAUUACAUGUACCAGCGUCGUCAUCCUCCUCACAUGAGCUACCUACUCUCACCCAUGUCUUCCUUGAUGAAUAAUGAAAUAUUCGAGAACAUGACAAAAGCCAACCCCUCAUCCUCACAAAAGAGUAGUACAUCGCCAAGGAGAGGAAUAUGAGGCUAAAGAUCAUCAUGUUCCUAUCCUCAGUACUUUUUCUUUAACAAAAGCUACAAUGAUUAAGCUACAAUCAAUAUUUCAUAUUUAUUGAUAUAAUCAACAACCUCAUAUGGAUCAAUGAAGUCAAUCACAAUCAAUUUGACUUCUUGAAUCAAAUGACAAGGAUGGAGAAAGUGAGUUCAAGGGGAAUUGCAGGAAUUAUAUUUGGGAUCUUUUGCAUAUAAAAGAGGAUUUCAACGUUAUUGAUGGAAUGACAUAUGGCUUCAGGAUGUACCACCGUAUCUUUUGUUUUUGAGGAAUGUGGAAUCUUUUCACAUUGGAUCAUUGAUCUACAGAUGUUAAUAUUCCUAAUAUAGGGUUUCAUAAUCAUCAUCAUCAUCGUCGUCGUCAUCUCUUUCAACUCGGCAAUAGCUCUCUUUUGUUGUUUUACCAUGAUUGUGCUGAGCUGUUUCAGGAGGUUGGGUGCAACUUAAGGGUCCAGCUAUAGACACUGUCCUUGCAUCAAUGGAAUAUUUUCUUCAAAUUGGACAAGAGUGCAAUGUUUUCGUCAUUGUUGUUUCAAUUCAGCACACUAAAAGAGUUUAAGGGGUACUAUUUUUUUAAGGAUGUCUUCUUUGACAUUUCAAGCGCAUCAUAAGAGUUUAAGGGGCCUGCUUUUGUUGUAAAUGACAGAUUUGUCGAGUUGCUUACAAACUGCGCUGUCAUGACUCGAUUGUAGAGAUUAUACAUGGUUUUCAAGAACCAUUAUUGUUAAUUCAAAUCUCAACAUGGCGAGGCUCGGGAUCAUAUUUGAUAAUUGAUAUGAAUAAGUAUAUAAGUAUAUUUCUAGAGGAUUGGGGCUGUAGAUUUGGAUGUUCUCUUUAUAAUGCUAAAGAAAAAUAAUCUCCUUUGUAUAUAUUUUCAGACCCGCUAAGAAGCGAAAGGGAAAAUAAGAAGAGUUAACUACAAUUUCUCAGUUGGAAUGAUUUUAUUGUGUUAAUCCUCACAUGAAUGAUGUUUAUCAUCAAUUUUGUUAGCAAGUUUAUCAUUUUUUUAUAUAAAAAAUAGUGUUCAUAU
Molecule: long non-coding RNA, 2554 nt
Organism: Trifolium pratense (red clover)
Lineage: Eukaryota; Viridiplantae; Streptophyta; Magnoliopsida; Fabales; Fabaceae
Exons: 8
Source: RefSeq, a predicted model, not a curated record